RNAcentral lists this ribosomal RNA (243 nucleotides) under uncultured bacterium. RNAcentral describes it as "partial 16S ribosomal RNA". It matches the Rfam family "Bacterial small subunit ribosomal RNA", at positions 529 to 771 of the family's 1533-position model. The record is from RNAcentral.
AGGGUGCAAGCGUUACUCGGAAUCACUGGGCGUAAAGAGCGCGUAGGCGGGAUAGCAAGUCAGAUGUUAAAUCCUAUGGCUUAACCAUAGAACUGCAUUUGAAACUGUUAUUCUAGAGUAUGGGAGAGGUAGGUGGAAUUCUUGGUGUAGGGGUAAAAUCCGUAGAGAUCAGGAGGAAUACUCAUGGCGAAGGCGGCCUGCUGGAACAUAACUGACGCUGAGGCGCGAAAGCGUGGGGAGCAA